This 476-nucleotide ribosomal RNA is filed under the name uncultured organism. Its description in RNAcentral is "partial 16S ribosomal RNA". It matches the Rfam family "Bacterial small subunit ribosomal RNA", at positions 333 to 800 of the family's 1533-position model. The record is from RNAcentral.
ACACUCCUGCGGGAGGCAGCAGUAGGGAAUCUUCGGCAAUGGGGGCAACCCUGACCGAGCAACGCCGCGUGAGUGAAGAAGGUUUUCGGAUCGUAAAGCUCUGUUGUAAGUCAAGAACGAGUGUGAGAGUGGAAAGUUCACACUGUGACGGUAGCUUACCAGAAAGGGACGGCUAACUACGUGCCAGCAGCCGCGGUAAUACGUAGGUCCCGAGCGUUGUCCGGAUUUAUUGGGCGUAAAGCGAGCGCAGGCGGUUUGAUAAGUCUGAAGUUAAAGGCUGUGGCUCAACCAUAGUUCGCUUUGGAAACUGUCAAACUUGAGUGCAGAAGGGGAGAGUGGAAUUCCAUGUGUAGCGGUGAAAUGCGUAGAUAUAUGGAGGAACACCGGUGGCGAAAGCGGCUCUCUGGUCUGUAACUGACGCUGAGGCUCGAAAGCGUGGGGAGCGAACAGGAUUAGAAACCCGGGUAGUCCCAUGA